GACGAACGCUGGCGGCGUGCUUAACACAUGCAAGUCGAACGGAAAGGCCCUGCUUUUGUGGGGUUCCCGAGUGGCGAACGGGAGAGUAACACGUGAGUAACCUGCCCUGGACUUUGGGAUAACUUCAGGAAACUGGGGCUACUACCGGAUAGGAGCUCCUGCUGCAGGGUGGGGGUUGGAAAUUUUCGGCUGUUGGGGAUGGACGCGCGGCUUAUCAGCUUGUUGGGUGGGUAGUUGCUUACCAAGGCUUUGACGGGUAGCCGGCCUGAGAGGUGAGACGGCCACAAUGGGACUGAGAGACGGCGCAGACUGCUACGGGAGGCAGCAGGGGGGAAUAUUGCACAAUGGGCGCAAGCCUGAUGCAGAAACGCCGCGUGCGUGAUGACGGCCUUCGGGUUAUAAACCGCUUUAGCCUGUGACGAAGCGUGAGUGACGGUAAUGAGUAAAGAAGCACCGGCUAACUACGUG
This 468-nucleotide ribosomal RNA is filed under the name uncultured bacterium. RNAcentral's name for it is "partial 16S ribosomal RNA". It matches the Rfam family "Bacterial small subunit ribosomal RNA", at positions 28 to 507 of the family's 1533-position model. The record is from RNAcentral.